Bactrocera latifrons is the source of this 1370-nucleotide long non-coding RNA. RefSeq lists it as uncharacterized. The record is from RefSeq and is a predicted model, not a curated record. Lineage: Eukaryota; Metazoa; Arthropoda; Insecta; Diptera; Tephritidae. The transcript has 3 exons.
AACGACUGACGCGCUGUUGUUAACUCGGCUAUAAUCGCGUAAGCGGUGCAUACGCCAGUAAAGAAGAAGAAUUAGUUAAGAGCUGGAAACCGAUCUUUACCUAUAAAAGAAAGACUAGGAUUUAGAGUAGCAUCCCUCGAUCUCGAGCUUAAAAUGGAGAAAAACUAUCGACUUCAAGCUUAUCGAAAUAUUAUUACAAUAUGUUGUGUGAAUAAGGAUCUAUACAGAAUUUAGUCCACACAACGCAUAUUAUUCAUAAUACAACGGGAAAAUCACUUCUACAGACACAAGAAGAAGUAACCAGACAAGCAGACUAUAUAACAACAAAAAUUGAACGCAGCGGUAAAACCACGCCACUACUAGCAUACAGCACAGGCUUGGCAGAGAGUUAGAUGCCCGAUGAUCUGUCAGUCAGCUCGAAACUGUGACAGCGUACAUACGGUGGACAUAUACCAGACUACACAGUGAGAUGAUCUUCUAGCUAGUCUUGGUCUCGUUCGUUAAGGGUGAGCUUGAUAGUGAGUCGAUCCCCUGACCAACUCAACCCUUAACAAUGGGGUCGCCAACGCGGUUUUCCAUAGUCCGAGUUUUUGCGCAGCUAUAGUAAGUGAUUCAACAGAACAACGUCUUCGAAGCCUACCAGAGCGCCAGCAGAUACAGUCGUGCGGAGUCGUCGUAGCAAACGAGCAUCCGCGAACGCCGCAGGACAUUGUCACUGAACCGYUACCCUCGGCGCGUAUACCUCGCUUCGUUACAAUUUUCAAAGAGAAAAGAUAAUAAAAUGCGCAAUAGUUUGACUAAUUACAUCUACCUAUACAUAGAAAUAAAGGCGAUUUUUUAUCUAAAACUUUUUUUUUUUGCAAAUUAACUAGCCAAGAAAAAAUUAUUGGAGUAAGUUUACAAAAACGACUUGACAUUGCUAGCCGUGAUAUUACACUAUAUCUGUUUAAGAUUAGUGGCACUUAGUACAUACAUACAUUAGAAUAAAGUUAGACAAAAGAAGCUUAAUAAAAUAAUGAAAUGACUUUUUUAUAGUUGCAGCUGCUUGUUGGUUUUCCAAAUACAUUUAAUCAAACCGGUGUCUUCGAAGCUGCAUGAUGAAAGAGAAGUUUUGCUAAUCUAUGACAUCGAGAUGAAACAUUACGCAAAGGUUGUGUGAUAAAUUUAGGCGCUAUUCUAACAGCAUUUAAUAAACAUUGGAGCACAACACAAACGGCCUAUAUCUAUAUAUGACUACAAGCAUAUCGUGCGAUUUAAUACAUGAAAUGAUAAGCCUACACCGCCAAGUAACAAUACCAGGGAUAAUGGGAUGCCCAACUUAUUCCAGUGUGAGAGCGMAUCAAAAUAAGCGUUUUUUAUAACAUUUUCCA